This is a long non-coding RNA of Triticum aestivum (bread wheat), 1502 nucleotides long. RefSeq lists it as uncharacterized. The record is from RefSeq and is a predicted model, not a curated record. The transcript is spliced from 4 exons. Lineage: Eukaryota; Viridiplantae; Streptophyta; Magnoliopsida; Poales; Poaceae.
GUUUCUUUCCCUGUUCAGUUCAUUCAUCCCCUUCCCGUGGACCAUGGAAAAAAAGCUAUGCAGCACGGAGAUUCGCCAUGGAUGGCCUCGAGUUCUUUUAGGAAGCAGAAUCAGGAUUGGUUCCUAGGGCUCAUGCGGGUGAUAUUUUGGUUGGCGGGAUCAACGUUGUCGAGUCUAUGGUUGCUUCCAUCCAUGAAGCUUGCGGGCGCUCCUAUGAUGUGAUUUCUUCUAACCGAUGGACGGCAGUAACGGCAAAGAGUAGUUCCGGGGGCCUGACACGAAUGUUGGCUCAUGCCGCAACGGUGGGAGUGAGGUCGUUGGUGACUCAAACGAUAUGGGGCUCAGAAUACUGCAACUGAAUCUAUGGGAGUGGGAGAUGAGGGAGACGCAGAGGAUGUCGUCGUCAACAAAACAAAGAUCUCAUGUUGGACUCGACGUGUUAGGAUUGGCAACGCGCCAGAAGAGAGGGAUGCCAACCCAAGCAGGUCCCUGCCCUCGAUGCUUCAAUGCAAGCUUAUGCAAACAACAAGGUUGGCACUAUUGUUAACCCGGCGCUCGGGACUAGCUUUGACACAUUUGUAGAAGCAUAUGAGUUUUACAACUUAUACUCCUGGGAGACUGGUUUUGGCGUCAGGUAUGCCAAAAGCAGGUUGAUCGUCCAUCGGAAAAAAAUGUAUGCAGGAGUUUGUGUGCGCGUAUGUGGGCAAGCCAUUGCAAUCGAAUAGCCGCUCGACGAGGUGUGGAUGCCCCGCGUUGAUGCGGAUUCUUAGGUCUGAUGAUAAAGGAUGGUACAUAUGUGAGCACAAAGCAGAGCACAACCAUGCACUCUCAGUUAACUGUAUGGAGAAGCUGCACUGGAAAUUGCACUGGCACAUACAUAGAUGGAGCAACUAAGAAAUGCGAGAACAUUGCCGGAGUCGGUGGCUGCUGUACGUGAUGGCACGGGUUUAUCUGACAGAGAGGUGCAGGUGAUUCUGCAGGUUCAGCUACAACAGAGAAGCAACAUUUUGGUCCAACAAAAAACAAGUGCAAAGUGCCUCACAAUGUUCAGAUAGCUUUGGGGCACCAUCAAAGAAGAGACCAGCGGGGCGCCCUACGACAAGCUGCGACAAAGCACCAUACGAACAACCAACUAAGAGGAGUAGGUUCUGUUCGAUCUGCCGGGCCCAGGGGCACAAGAGCACAACAUGUCCGUGGCAGGGGCGAUCUUCCAAAGGCGCCAAGUAAGUCACCUCGCUGCUCCAGGUGCAGCCUGAAAGGCCACAGAAGGAACACCUGCACCAACACGCCCAAGGCUGAUAUCUAUGGUUGAUUUUAUUUGUUUUCUAAGCUUGAAACAUGAUAGUUUCAGGUAACCGUGCUUAUGUGGAUGUCAGACUGCUAAUGACUACUCCACAUAUUAGUGAAUCUCUAUAUCUGUAGUAUCAUUUGUUGUCGGAGAAUUGCUUGGAGACGAUGUGUGUUUGGUGUGAAAAUCACUUGUUUGAUCCUUUUCGCUUCAA